RNAcentral lists this ribosomal RNA (502 nucleotides) under uncultured bacterium. RNAcentral's name for it is "partial 16S ribosomal RNA". It matches the Rfam family "Bacterial small subunit ribosomal RNA", at positions 30 to 523 of the family's 1533-position model. The record is from RNAcentral.
AUUGAACGCUGGCGGCACGCCUAACACAUGCAAGUCGAGCGGUAACAUGGUUAGUAGCAAUACUAGUUGAUGACGAGCGGCGGACGGGUGAGUAAAACGUAGGAACCUGCCCUUAAGCGGGGGAUAACUAAGGGAAACUUUAGCUAAUACCGCAUACACUCGAGAGAGGAAAGCUGCCGCGAGGUGGCACUUGAGGAGGGGCCUGCGUCAGAUUAGCUAGUUGGUAGGGUAAGAGCCUACCAAGGCAAUGAUCUGUAACUGGUCUGAGAGGACGACCAGUCACACUGGGACUGGGACACGGCCCAGGCUCCUACGGGAGGCAGCAGUGGGGAAUAUUGGACAAUGGGGGCAACCCUGAUCCAGCGAUGCCGCGUGGGUGAAGAAGGCCUUCGGGUUGUAAAGCCCUUUAGGUCGGGACGAAGGUUAUUAACGGAUAAUGUUAGUAACUUGACGGUACCGACAGAAUAAGCACCGGCAAACUCUGUGCCAGCAGCCGCCGUAA